This 497-nucleotide ribosomal RNA is filed under the name uncultured bacterium. RNAcentral's name for it is "partial 16S ribosomal RNA". It matches the Rfam family "Bacterial small subunit ribosomal RNA", at positions 28 to 507 of the family's 1533-position model. The record is from RNAcentral.
GACGAACGCUGGCGGCGUGCCUAAUACAUGCAAGUUGAGCGCUGAAGGUUGGUACUUGUACCAACUGGAUGAGCAGCGAACGGGUGAGUAACGCGUGGGGAAUCUGCCUUUGAGCGGGGGACAACAUUUGGAAACGAAUGCUAAUACCGCAUAAAAACUUUAAACACAAGUUUUAAGUUUGAAAGAUGCAAUUGCAUCACUCAAAGAUGAUCCCGCGUUGUAUUAGCUAGUUGGUGAGGUAAAGGCUCAACAAGGCGAUGAUACAUAGCCGACCUGAGAGGGUGAUCGGCCACAUUGGGACUGAGACACGGCCCAAACUCCUACGGGAGGCAGCAGUAGGGAAUCUUCGGCAAUGGACGAAAGUCUGACCGAGCAACGCCGCGUGAGUGAAGAAGGUUUUCGGAUCGUAAAACUCUGUUGGUAGAGAAGAACGUUGGUGAGAGUGGAAAGCUCAUCAAGUGACGGUAACUACCCAGAAAGGGACGGCUAACUACGUG